Molecule: long non-coding RNA, 373 nt
Organism: Triticum aestivum (bread wheat)
Lineage: Eukaryota; Viridiplantae; Streptophyta; Magnoliopsida; Poales; Poaceae
Exons: 5
Source: RefSeq, a predicted model, not a curated record
AGCUCUUUUCUCUGUUUGUGGUCGGUCUUUACAGGUUAACCAGCCUAAACUGAUCUUGAAAGACAAGUUUUGAGAUCAAAGUUGGCAAGGGAAGAAGUAUCAAGCUGCAACCAUCAAUAACCGAAGAAGUGCCCUUGCAGCCUUUUGCAAGGGUCGAAAUUUAGUACAAGCAAACCGUAAUGGACAAGAGUUUCAAAAUGAUGAGGUUGAAGAUGAGGACAUAUUUGAGAUUGGGGUGUUCGUAAAGUUAUGCAGAAGCAACCAUGGCAGCCCAUAGCAGUUCCCACAGCUAGAAGGUCACCAGCAUAAUGCCUUUGCAUUCACAAGUUUCAAGAGGUGUGUUUGGUGAGGCUAAAAGGAUCUUCUGCUGGGU